Candoia aspera is the source of this 2563-nucleotide long non-coding RNA. RefSeq lists it as uncharacterized. The record is from RefSeq and is a predicted model, not a curated record. The transcript is spliced from 3 exons. Lineage: Eukaryota; Metazoa; Chordata; Lepidosauria; Squamata; Candoiidae.
GAGAGAGACAUCGGGAAACCCAGCGGCGGUCUCAAGAUUGGGCCGAAAUUCCAAAGCGAAGGUCCGGUGGCUUGCGAGCGGCUCGAGCCGUUCCUUUCCGAGCUGGGAUAUUUUAGGGGGGCGGGGAAGGCGUCCAUUAUUUUGGAUGGUGGCGCUGCCCUGUAAAUCUGCCAAGCGAAAUUGCACCAUCGGAGCGGUUUAACUUUAGUGGGUGGGGACGAGGGUGCUUCCUUAAACAGCCAGGAGAAGAAGAAGAGCGGAGGGAACCGGGUAGGGGCGCGCUGCUUCUUCCUGGGCGGCGGCUGCUGCUGGCUGGUGCUGCUGGUGUCGCCGCCGCCGCCGCCGCCGCUCCUCUUCCCCAGCCCAGCCCCAGCUCGUGCUUCUGGAUCUAUCGCCUAACACGUGGGGCUCUUUUUGCGCGGCGGAAACUUUCGAGGGAUACUUGGUGCCAACUUGGACACGCGCUCGGUGACAGCGGCGUGGGACUCUUGCAGUGGCUUUGCGGGUGGCGGAAUCUAAGCUCCGCGCAGAUCCAGGCGCCCCUUUUCGGGCAGGGGGGUGUGCCUCUCUUCCUUCUCCCGCGAUUGGAGUCCCGCUUCCACGUUUCUGACUCUCCGGUGCUCCGGGCAUUCGACCCCCGCCGCCGCUCCCUUUUCCUAGCGCAGAAAAAUGUGGCCAGCGAGCCUUUUUAACGAACCAGCUCUGGUUUUCCUGAGGGGCGGGAGCUAACCCCACCCGUGCCUGCCGUACCUCCUAGUUUUUGUGCCGUCCAGUGUAACUCCAGAAGAUCUGGCAAGGGCGAGGAAGGCCAAGCAAGUUAAAUCCGCAGGAACGCGCUGGGGCUGCUCGCUGUCCCCCCUGACAGAAGGAACUUCCUCCUCUGCAAUAAACUUGUAUUGAACAGACAGAUACAAUAUUUAUUAAAGAGUGUCACAAGUUUUUUGCUGCGCUGAAUGUAAAUACACAUGCAUACCGAUCGUGCUGUUCCCAUUUGCAGUAAGCAAUGCUAUGCAAAGUGCAGAAAAGAAGAGACAGUAAACAAAAGAAAUGAAGGACAUGCAAUAAGGAAAAAGAAGGAAGAAAUAUCUCAACAUCAGGUUUAUACCAACAUUAUAGAUAUAUUGUAGAUACAGGCCACAUCUCUUAGACAACUUCACUGGGUUUGCCCAAACUUUGGCAGAUCUCUUAAGAGUACAUAGUGAAGCUCUGAAGGCUUUAUACUAUAGACCCGUAAGUUUGCCAGGCGCCCUGCUAAACAAAUGUCUUUUCCAUGCACGUGGGAUUUUGUGCACACACAGUGUUCCCCAGAAGAGGUCAGUCAGUGUCAGAGACAGCCCCACAGAGUCCUUUGACCUGAUUCCAUCAAAUCCAAUGUACACGCCAGAAGGCCUUUUCUGCCGGAGAGCUACUGUACAACAGUUUAUAUCUCAGCUGGUUUCAUUUUUAUGAGCUCGAAGCUGAGGGCUCUACUUCCAAGAAGCAUUACUUGAUUGAUGACUAUACAGAACAUCACAACUUGUACCCAUGCUGCAAAGUUUCAGCUGCACAGGGCAAUCUUUUAUACUAAAUUCCCCAACUGUUUUCCAAACUUGAGGUUAAUCCCAGGAAGGGAAUGUCUACAUGAGUGUCAUGAGUGUCAAUCUGGUACAGGGACGGGAACCUGUCACUCUUCUAGAUUUUGCAGAGUUACUGUUCCUUUCAUCCCAAACAGCACAGCCAUGGAGAGAAGGGCCAGGAGUUGUAAUUCAAGAAGUUCUGGAAUGCUCUCCUGUCAAGAAAUUCCCCACUCCUGCUCCAGGGCUUUUUUGAUUUUGGUUCAUUGGCUGACUCUUAGCUAAGGUUGUGGCUUUCCUAUUGCUAUUCUUACCAGAGAUGGAUGAAGUUGGAAGAUUUGACACCUUAGAUUAGCUGAAAGCAGUCUUCUUCAACCUGAAGCCCCCUAGAUGAGAUGAACUGUAGCCUACAUCACCCCUGACUGGCAAUUGGAAAUGGUGGGAGUUAUAGUCCAACACAUUUGAAAGGCCUCAACUGGGGCAGGGUGGUCUGCAGAAAUGAGAUCAACCUGAAGAGCUUUACAUAAGCUGGUCUCCGUCACAAUAUGAAUGGAUGUAACAAACAGGUAAGCAGAAAAGCAGCUGGCUAGCUGUUGGCUAAGGAAAGGAUGCCCGAAGGACCACUUUACCUCCUCAUGCCCCCCUAGCCAAUUGGUUAGGUUAUUCUUGUGUGGCUCUAGAAGCUGGAUCAAUCACCUAGUUUAAGGAAGGACAUAUUGGUGCAACUAAUAUUUUUAUCAGCUAAGGGUACAUGCACAGAAUUCUACUUUACCUAAUUAUAUCAAGACAAUUGCUGUUGGCUAUUAUAACGUGCCAAAAGCUUUACUGUAUGUCAAAUGUUUUCAAAAUAAACACAACUUAAAAUAAAUGCUUGGGAUUUCUUAGUUCAUUGUAUUUGUACUCUACUACUGUCCUCCAGGAGACUCAGUAAAGCAGAUAUGAGAUCAUUUCAUUUUGUCCCUGUGAAGCAGGCUAUUUUUUGAGCAGAAGGAUCAUCCAGUGAGAAUUAU